GUGGGGAAUAUGGACAAUGGGCGAAAGCCUGAUCCAGCCAUGCCGCGUGUGUGAAGAAGGUCUUCGGAUUGUAAAGCACUUUAAGUUGGGAGGAAGGGCAGUAAGUUAAUACCUUGCUGUUUUGACGUUACCGACAGAAUAAGCACCGGCUAACUUCGUGCCAGCAGCCGCGGUAAUACGAAGGGUGCAAGCGUUAAUCGGAAUUACUGGGCGUAAAGCGCGCGUAGGUGGUUUUGUAAGUUGGAGGUGAAAUCCCCGGGCUCAACCUGGGAACUGCCUCCAAAACUGCAUGACUAGAGUACGGUAGAGGGUAGUGGAAUUUCCUGUGUAGCGGUGAAAUGCGUAGAUAUAGGAAGGAACACCAGUGGCGAAGGCGACUACCUGGACUGAUACUGACACUGAGGUGCGAAAGCGUGGGGAGCAAACAGGAUUAGAUACCCGUGUAGUCC
RNAcentral lists this ribosomal RNA (449 nucleotides) under uncultured bacterium. Its description in RNAcentral is "partial 16S ribosomal RNA". It matches the Rfam family "Bacterial small subunit ribosomal RNA", at positions 354 to 796 of the family's 1533-position model. The record is from RNAcentral.